RNAcentral lists this ribosomal RNA (497 nucleotides) under uncultured bacterium. RNAcentral's name for it is "partial 16S ribosomal RNA". It matches the Rfam family "Bacterial small subunit ribosomal RNA", at positions 28 to 507 of the family's 1533-position model. The record is from RNAcentral.
GAUGAACGCUGGCGGCGUGCCUAAUACAUGCCAGUCGAGCGAACGGACGAGAAGCUUGCUUCUCUGAUGUUAGCGGCGGACGGGUGAGUAACACGUGGAUAACCUACCUAUAAGACUGGGAUAACUUCGGGAAACCGGAGCUAAUACCGGAUAAUAUUUUGAACCGCAUGGUUCAAAAGUGAAAGACGGUCUUGCUGUCACUUAUAGAUGGAUCCGCGCUGCAUUAGCUAGUUGGUAAGGUAACGGCUUACCAAGGCAACGAUGCAUAGCCGACCUGAGAGGGGUGUCCGCCAACCUUGAACUUGGACACGGUCCAGACUCCUACGGGAGGCAGCAGUAGGGAAUCUUCCGCAAUGGGCGAAAGCCUGACGGAGCAACGCCGCGUGAGUGAUGAAGGUCUUCGGAUCGUAAAACUCUGUUAUUAGGGAAGAACAUAUGUGUAAGUAACUGUGCACAUCUUGACGGUACCUAAUCAGAAAGCCACGGCUAACUACGUG